GGACAUAGCAGCUGAUACCUACGAUGGACGGCUUACCAGCUCACUCGUGAAUGAAUCAGAAAUUUGCGGAAGAGGCCAGGAGAAAGAAGAACUAGUCAACAUCCUGCUCUCUACUGCAGACAAUCUCCCUAUUUAUGCUAUAUGGGGAAUGGGGGGACUAGGAAAAACAACACUUUCUCAAAUGGUCUACAAUGAAGAAAGGGUUAAACUGCAAUUCAGUUUGAGGAUCUGGGUGUGUGUAUCUACUGAUUUCGAUGUAAGAAGAUUAACAAGAGCCAUCAUAGAGUCCAUUGAUGGUGCCCCUUGUGGUCUUCAAGAAUUGGAUCCCUUGCAACGGUGCCUCCAAGAGAAGUUAAAUGGAAAGAAGUUUUUGCUUGUAUUGGAUGAUGUGUGGGAUGAUUAUGGUGAUAGGUGGAAUAAAUUGAAGGAGGUAUUAAGGGGUGGAGCUAAAGGUAGUGCUGUAAUAGUAACUACACGUAUUGAGACGGUUGCUCGUAGAAUGGCAACAGCUUUUGUCCAGCACAUGGAGAGAUUGUCUGAAGAAGAUUCAUGGCAUUUGUUUCAACGGCUUGCAUUUGGGAUGAGAAGGAAAGAGGAGUGGGUACAUCUGGAAAACAUUGGAGUAUCAAUAGUGAAGAAGUGUGGUGGUGUUCCUUUAGCUAUAAAGGCACUCGGGAACCUAAUGCGGCUAAAAGAAAGGGAAGAUCAGUGGAUAGCUGUCAAAGAAAGUGAGAUUUGGGAUCUAAAAGAAGAAGCAAGCGAGAUUUUACCUGCUUUAAGGUUGAGUUACACUAAUCUAUCACCACAUUUGAAGCAAUGCUUUGCGUAUUGCGCUAUAUUUCCAAAAGAUCACGUGAUGGAGAGGGAGGAGCUGAUUGCUUUGUGGAUGGCAAAUGGCUUUAUUUCUUGCAGUGGAGAAAUGGAUUUGCACUUCAUGGGUAUUGAGAUAUUCAAUGAACUAGUGGGAAGGUCAUUUCUGCAAGAGGUCGAGGAUGAUGGAUUUGGCAACAUAACAUGUAAAAUGCAUGAUCUUAUGCACGAUCUUGCACAAUCCAUUGCAGAACAAGAAUGCUAUAUGACAGAAGGCGAUGGGAAGUUGGAAAUUCCUAAAACUGUCCGUCAUGUAGCUUUUUAUAACAAAUCAGUAGCUUCGUCUUCUGAAGUUCUCAAGGUCCUAUCACUUCGCUCACUUCUUUUGAGGAAUAAUGCUCCUCGGAAUGAAUGGGGAAAGAUUCCUGGUCGAAAACAUCGAGCCUUGAGUUUAAGAAAUAUUCCGAAGUCAAUUUGUGAUUUGAGACAUCUAAGGUAUCUAGAUGUGUCGGGCUAUACUACUAUCAAAACACUGCCUGAAAGUAUAACCUCACUUCAAAACCUCCAGACACUAGAUCUGAGAAAUUGCACUUAUCUCAUCCAUUUACCAAAAGGUAUGAAGCACAUGAAAAGUCUUGUCUAUCUUGACAUAACGGGUUGUUAUUCACUCCGAUUUAUGCCUGCUGGAAUGGGGCAAUUGAUAUGCCUGCGAAAACUUCCCCUGUUCAUUGUGGGUGGGGAGAAUGGUCGUCGCAUAAAUGAGCUGGAAAGGCUGAAUAAUCUUGCUGGUGAAUUGAGUAUCGCAGAUCUUGUGAAUGUUAAGAAUUUAGAAGAUGCCAAAAGUGCCAAUUUGAAGUUGAAGACAGCUCUUUUAUCACUGACUUUAUCUUGGCAUGAGAAUGGAGAUUACCUUUUUGGCACUCGGUCAUUUCCGCCAUCACAACAAAGAAAGAGUGUUAUACAGGAAAAUAACGAGGAGGUCCUUGAAGGGCUUCAACCUCAUUCAAAUCUGAAGAAGUUGAUGAUAUGGGGACAUGAAGGUUCAAGAUUUCCUAAUUGGAUGAUGAACUUGAACAUGACGCUACCAAAUCUGGUAAAGAUGGAGAUAUCAGCAUUUCCCAACUGUGAACAACUUCCACCAUUGGGGAAACUGCAGUUCCUCAAGAGUCUUGUAUUGUGUCGAAUGGAUGGUGUGAAGAGUAUUGACAGCAAUGUGUAUGGAGAUGGGCAGAAUCCAUUCCCAUCUUUGGAGACGCUGACUUUUGAGUACAUGGAGGGAUUAGAGCAAUGGGCUGCGUGUACUUUUCCUCGCCUUCAAUAUUUGACGAUAAUUUAUUGUCGUGUGUUGAACGAAAUACCAAUUAUACCCUCCAUCAAAUCAGUAUACAUCUGGGGAGGCAAGGAUUCAUUACUGAGGUCAGUUAGGAAUCUCACUUCUAUCACCUACCUUCAUAUAGAAGAGAUUCCAAAUGUGAGGGAGCUUCCCGAUGGGUUUUUGCAAAAUCAUACCCUCCUUGAAAGCUUACAAAUUGGUGGGAUGCGAGAUCUGGAGUCUUUGUCAAAUAGGGUAUUAGAUAACCUUUCUGCUCUUAAAAGCUUGAGUAUUUGGGGUUGCAAGAAACUUGAAAGCUUGCCAGAGGAAGGUCUUCGUAACCUCAAUUCCUUGGAGGUUUUACACAUAAAAGGUUGUGGAAGAUUAAAUUGUCUGCCAAUGAAUGGGUUGUGUGGCUUAUCUUCUCUUCGCAAGUUAGCUGUUAGAAGUUGUGAUAAAUUCACAUCUUUAUCAGAAGGAGUGCGGCAUCUGACGGCACUUGAGGAUUUGUUACUUGAUGGAUGUCCAGAGCUGAAUUCAUUGCCAGAGAGUAUCCAACAUCUCACUUCUCUCCAAUCUCUGACCAUUGUGGAGUGUCCAAAUUUAAAGAAAAGGUGUGAGAAAGAUUUAGGAGAGGACUGGCCUAAGAUAGCUCAUAUUCCUAAGAUUAGUUUCAAUUAUAAUUGAUAUGCAAAGUUUGUAAUGAGAAUAAAAUAUAUUUGUUCGUAGUUUUAAUUUGUUGUAAUUGUUUAAAUAAUUUUCUCAAAUUCAUUGUUGUUGUAUUUUUCAUAUAAAUGUGUAAAAAUGAUUGGUUCAUUAUUUGUUUUAAUUGAGACUUGUUUUACUACUGCAAUAAGUUUUUUUCCUUAACACUACUGAAAUACUUGUCAUAAAAAAGAGAGCAUAAAAUUAAGAAAAUUAGAGAGAUGUAAUUUUCAAAACUUCUCAUAAAACAGCCAAUUAAGUUUUAUUUGUUACUUCAAAACAAAACUUGUAUAAGAAAAUCAACUGUUGAGGUUUCUCAACUAAAAUAUCAAUCUCAUAAACAUCCUUUUAGCCUUUAUGAAGACGUAAUUUUACUUAAUUAAUUGAAACUAAUAAUAUUUAAACAAGAGGUGCUGAUUGAUUGAGUCUUGGAUCGAGAAGUAAUGUUACUUAAUUCUGAAUCAAUUGGUAAUAUAUAUGUACUUAAUUUUUUAUUAUUUGUUUUUAUUUAUUUUUAUAUGUCCUUUUUUAAUUAAUAUUUAUUUUAUUUUUAAUUUUUUUAAUUUAUUUUCUUUUUAAUUUUCAUACCUAAUUUUUUUUAUAGAAAAUUGUCCCAAUUCUUUUCAUUAUAAUUUCUUUUGGUUUCAUUUAUCUUCUUAAUUGUUUUUUUUUAGAUUCACCCCUCAUUGUUUGAUUUCAUUUAUUUCCAUGCCAAAUUUAAUAUUUAUUUUUUCGAUCAUUGUUUUUCAACCCAAUCUAGGAAUCAAUCCCGAGCAAGUUCUAGGUCACGGAUCGAGUGAGAUAGCCAAGAAUACCCAAGUUCUAUUUCACAUUUCUUUAGUUGUGAUUUCAAAUUAAUUAAUUAAUUAAUUUUUUUUUUGAUAAUUUUGCUUCGUAAAUUUGCUGCUCCAGGAAGCUUAGAAAUCCUUGGAAGAGAUGGCCCGUUGUCGUUGUCAUCAUGAUGGUGCAUUAGAUGCUUCGACAACUUGCCUUUGUAUUUCCUAGUAAAUAACUAAAAACAAUCUCUCUCUCAACCGUACUUCGGAAGAUUACUUUACUAACCAACAAGGCCGUUGUCAUAAUUGAUGUGAGGCAACAAUCUAGUGAUAUAAUUGCUUUGCUUGCUUGCUUGCUUCAUGAUUCUGCAUUUUGUGUUGAAUAAUGUAAGGCUAAGUUUCAAUGACUUUUUAUGGAGUCCAUAUUUCCAGUGCCUGGAAAUGGGUUAGAAAAGAUUUUUUAUUUUCUUGAGCAGGUGUCUGCUCAUCCCGAACCUAUCAAACCCAUGAGUACAACCCAAAACGAAUUAGCUCAAGUUAUCAAAAACCAUAGCCUAAACUUAUCAACAUUUAUCAAGGAAAACUUACGCUAGCCCGGUAUUCAUCACAGCCCAAAAUCACAAUCCCAUGCUUCUUUGUUGCAUGAAAAUGGAUCAAAUACUUGAAGCAACUUAAAAUAAUAAUAAAAAAAAUUUAAUUAUGAGUAUUUAUACUUCACAACUAACCCGGUGAUCUUGAAAAAACUCAAACCAGCAACCAUUAAAAAGCAAAAUUCAAGCAUAACUAACUGAAUGCUUCAUCAUGUAAAUCGGUAGGCUUGAUAAAAAAUUUAUUUAGGUACAGAUUGUUAUGCAUUACCAAUCCUAAGAAUUCAGUCAUUCCUACUAUUUUAUUUUCCCCCGCAUGAAUUUUUUUCAUCUCCGUAAAUAAACCCAAUCCAUGCAUAUAUGUAUUAGAUCCUAACAAAUGAAAGUAGAUAUAAGACAUAAUUUCUUUGGAAUUUACAAACAACAAAGACGAAUUUUUUUUGGAAUUUAUGUUUUUAUUUAAAAUAUAUAAAAAGAAGGGUAAACAAUUGGGUUCUAAUACAGGUUUUUUUUAAUGAUAUCAUCGAUUUCUUUAAAGAUAAUUAUAUGCUAGGUUGAUGUGCAAAAAUUUGAAAAUAAUUUUUUAUUAACAUUGAAUUGAAUGAGAAUAAAAAAUAUAUAUUUUUUUAAUUUUAAUUUUUUGUAAAUUUUUAAAUAAUUUUCUCAAAUUUAUUGUUCUCAUAUAUAUUUUUUAUAUAAAUGUGUAAAAAUGAUUGAUUCAUGAUUUUAUUUUAUUGAAACUUACUUCUAUCAUUGUAAUAAGUUUUUUCUUAAAAAAACAAUACUUCUGAUCAUAAAAAAAUAUAUGUUUUUUAAAAAAAUGCAUGAAUAAGAAAAUUAGGUUUUUUUUAUUAGAAUUAAAAUUUUUCUAUUCUUCUCAGCUCAAAUCGUUAUAGAAUAAGUUUUCUACUACUUUCAAUGACUUCAUCAACUUUGCAAUUAAAUACAUACUUAAAUAUUGACCAAGAUUAAUUUUAUUACAAUAAAAGUCGAUAUAUUAUUGAAGCUCUCGUGCCAUUAAGCAAAUGGUUGCAUGGGAAAAAGGAAAAGUUUUAGAGAAUACAAACCAAAUUAAAUUCAAAGAGAAACAAAAAACAAAUAAAAAAAAAUUAAGACACUAAUUACUCCAAAACAGAACGUGAAUAAGAGAAUCUAUUAUUGAAGGUUAUCCAUGAAUAUACCAAACAAUAAAGAAUGAGCUCAUAAGCAUGAUUUUUUAGUCUGUAUGAAGACGCAAUUUUACUUAAUUAAUUGAAACUAAUAAUAUUAAACUAGAGGUGCUAACUGAUUGAGUCUUGGAUCGAGACGUAAUGUUACUUAAUUCUGAAUCAAUUGGUUAUAUGUGCUUAAUUUGUUUGUUUGUAUGACUAAUUACUACUGCAUCCCGGCGUAAAUCUCAAGGGAAGUGGAAUUAACAAAGAUUAAUAUCAUAAUCUAAACUUCAUUUCUUGCAAGCAAUAUAAUAAAACUAUACCCAAGUCUCAGGUUUAAUUUACUUUCCCUUUGAUUUUCAGCUCCACAACCAUUAUCUUUUAGAUAGCCAAAGGUCAUUUUCCAGGCUAAAAGACCACUAAAACUCGCAAUGUCCAGGCCUCUUCAAGGUAUACAAAGAUGGCCGCAUAGAGAGAUAUUGGAACAUUGACUUCGUUUCAGCAGGCGUUGACACAGAAACGGGGGUCCAUUCCAAAGAUGUUGUGAUCUCACCAGUGACCAACAUCAAGGCUCGUAUUUUCCUCCCAAAAAUCAACGGCCCAGAAAAAAAGCUCCCUCUCCUUGUCCACUAUCAUGGUGGUGGCUUUUGUAUAGGCUCUCCAUUUACUUCUGCCUUGAAGAAUUUUCUUUCAACCCUAGCCACCCAAGCCAAUGUCAUCGCUAUAUCUAUUGACUACAGGUUAGCACCUGAACACCAAUUACCGAUUGCAUACGAUGAUUCAUGGGCAGGGCUUCAGUGGAUCGCGAAACACUCUAAUGGUAAUGGACCCGAGCCAUGGAUUAAUGAAUAGGCGGAUCUCGGGCGGGUUAUUUUAGCCGGUGAGAGUGCUGGAGGCACCAUAGCCCAUUAUGUGGCGGUCCAAGCUGGGGCUGCGGGAUUGCCUGCCAUGGCUAUAGAAAGGUUACUAAUAGUGCACCCAUAUUUUUGGGCUAAGGAGCCAGACAUGUUCUACCAAUAUAUAUGUAUCCAAAAUUGAACCCGGCAGUGGAUCCGAAUUUGUCGAAAUUUCAGUGUGAUAAAGUGUUAGUUUGCGUGGCAGAAAAGGAUAAGCAUAGAAUUAUGAAGCUAUGAGCGAGUGUGGAUGGGGUGGUACUGUGAUUUUUUUAUGAAACUAAAGGGAGGACCAUUGCUUUUAUUUGCUGAAUCCCAGGAGCGAGAGUAUCGAGCCCCUUAUGAAAAUAAUGGUUGAUUUCACUAAUUAUUUUUAAUAAUAUGUUAUUCUACCAAUAUUUUUAAUUUAAUGUGUUAAUUUUUUCUUUUAAAUCAUUCUUUCGCUGUCCUGAUUUCCUCAUUUUAGGUGCAAACAAAGUAAAAUAUCAUAAAGUAAGUAUUUCAUGUUUAUAUUUAAUUAACUAAUUUGGUUUAAUUGAAAAAUAUCUUUUAAAAAGCCAAUUUUAAUAAAGAACAACAAUAAAAAAAAACCCUAAAAUAACCCAAGUUAUUUUCUAAAUUAAUAAGAAAUCUUGUAGAAAACAAAUAAAAACAUAACGGAGUUCAAUAUUUAAUUAAAUAAAUGCUGAAUGACAAAUUAAAAAAAAAACAUGAGUUUAAAAAAAGAAAAAAAACAGGCAAACUCAGAAAAAUCUUUUAAGCCAAAGUUAAUUUUUCAAACUUAUAAGUCAUAAAAUUCUAAACCCGAACUCAGUAUAGAAGCUCAAUCCCCAAUUAAUUUAAUAUUAAAUGAUAUAAUAAAAAAAUAAAUAAAAUUUUAAAAUUCUCUUAAUAAAAAAUAGCAAACAAAAAAACGAGAAUCAAAUUUGAUAGAAAAAAAUUAAUGAGGAUUACAUCAUAAUAAAAAAUAAAUUUUAAAAAUUAUUUCAAAUAAAGUAAAUAAUAAAAAAAAAAAAUUAUGGAUCAAAUAUGACAUAUGAAAAUAUUAUAGGAGGAAUAAAUUGAAAAACAAGUUUUAAUUUUAUAAAUAAUUUCAAAUAAAUAUAUAUAUAUAAAAUAAAUUAAAAAGCUGUUAUAUAAAAAAUUAGAGAAUCAAACAUGAAAAUUUAAAAUAAACGUUUAUUGUCACAAUCGCCGUUGUUAGGUGCAACUGGAUGUUUUUCCUCCACCCUCUCUUCUUUCUCCUUCACGCACCCAAAAGUUCAAAAAGUCUUAACUUUUUGUAUUAUCUCAAUUGUGGUCCUCGAUUUGUUUUAUUCUAUAUUUGCUUUAAUUCUUUUUAUAACUUUUUUUUAAUUUCAUUUUUUAUUAUUUGAUUUGAUUUAUUUUUUUGUUAUAUUUGGUCAUCUUUUUUUAAUUGAUAUUUAUUUUGCUUUUUAUCCUUUUUUUUAUUGAUUUUUUUUUCAAUUUUCAUACCUAAUUUUUGUUUUUUUUUUUAAAUUGUCCCCAUUCUUUUCAUUAUAAUUUUUUUCAGUUUUAUUUAUCUUCUUAAUUUUUUUUAGAUUCACCCCUUAUUGUUUGAUUUUAUUUGAUUUUCAUGCUAAAUUUGAUCCUUAUUUUUUAUUAUUAUUGUUUUUAAACCCAAUUCAAGGGUCAAUCUCGAGCAAGUCCUGGGUCACGGAUCAAGUGGGUUGGCCAGUGAUACCCAAAUAAAUUUAGCCUAGAAUCCAACAGGUGUUAAAAAAAAUCACAAAGAGGUCGUGCCCUUAUUUUUUUAAUCAUGGUUUUUAAACUUGACUUGGAGGUCGACUUUUAGGCAAGUUUUGGUUCAUAGGUCGGGUGGGUUGACCAGGAUUACCUGAGCAACUUUUUUUUAUUUUACAAAUAUGUAAAUAUGACAUUAUUUUAGCCAGAACUUUACAAAAAAAUUCAAUAGUUUUUAAGAAAAUUUAACAAAAUAUAUUAUAAGGUUGUUUGGUUUUAGUAUUGCGGUAAUAAUUAUUUUUUAAAUUAUAUUUUGUUUGAAAAUGUAUUAAAAUAAUAUAUAUAUAUAUAUUAAAAUUUAUUUUUAAUAUAAACACAUGAAAAUUAUUGAAAUUUAAAAAUACUAAAAAGAUUUUAUUUCAAAACAAAGAUAAAAAUAAAAUAAAUAUUAUUUUUUUAAAAUCACUAUUAAAACUAAUACUCUGAUUAGAAGUUACAGACAAAGGGGGCUGCUUCUUCAGGCUCAGGCUUUGAAUGCAAAUGGAAAGUCAUUCAGCUAAGCAAAGACAUCCUGUAAUGUCCCAAUUGAUAAACUGCAAUAAUUUCUAAUAACAUCUUGUCAUUAUUAAGAACAAGCAUCACUAUUCAAGUCGUAUUAGGUCCGCUAAUUCACUAGAAAGUAGAAAACACUUUGAUGGAAAAAUACUUUUUUAAAAACCAUUUUUUUUAAAAAAACACAAUCUUAAUAUCCUGAUUCUAUCGCAAAGGUUUUUCGUAGUAAAGAAUAGUUCUUUCUCCCAUAAAAUUUCUUCCUUUUCUGGCAUUUUUUAUAGUCACAGAUUUUUCUCGAUUAUUUCAAGUAGACAGGUAAGCUUUCUCCCAUUAUCAACAUUAUCGCAGUGGUUGUGCUUAUCAGGUUGGAAAUCCGACGGUGAGCAACCUGUCAGUGAAUGAUCAGGGUUGAACUGUAUGAAUUUCAGUUUGGGUGGCAAAUUAGGAAAAACAUUCUAAGAGGGUCAAAAUUUAAAAUUUUUAUUAUUAAAACUAAAAAUCUAAUUUGUUACAGGGAAGGCUGGAAAAAAAAAAAAAUUACUUGCAGGAGCCGCGGCCCUGCCAGCCCCCUGCUUCUGCCACUGGGAGCAACUCACAAACAUGAAAUUAUCUUAGCAGCAUCAGAAAAGGUAGAAGGAGGAGAUGCACACAGUAUUAAGACUACAGUCCACUUCGAAAUAUGUCAUUAAAAGUCCGUUGUCAUAAAUGAUGAGAGAGAAAUACAGAGUCCACUCACGAGAGAUGAGCAUAAAAUAUGUCAUCAUAUGCAUAGCUAGUCAAGUCUGCACCGUGUGGAGCCCAGGCGGCUUGGCCAGUGCGGGACGAAGAUUCUUAGAAUUUAUUAAAAUAAACGAAAAACACGUCAUAGCAAAUAUAUCUCGUUUACUUUAUUGAUAUUAAAAACUAUUAUAAUAUAUUUUUAUAUAAAAAUUACCUUAAAAAACAAAACCUUUUAUUUUCUAAAACACACCCAAUACUAGAAACCAAAUUCCCAAAAAAAAAUAAUCAAAAUAAUUACAAUCGUGAUCAUACAUUUCAUGCCAUGAGACAUACUCGGAAACACCAUCCCGUCAAAUUUGGAACGUGCUCUUUUUUUUCCCCCCUGUAUUUACUUUAAAUUCUUUUUAUACUUGUUUUAAUUUUAUUCUUUAUUAUUUAUUUGUAUAUCAAAUUUAACCUUUUUUUAAUUGUUAUUUAUUUUGUUUUUUUUAUUGAUUUUCUUUUCAAUUUACAUAUUUAAUUUUUGUUUUUUUAAAAAAUAUCCAAAUUCUUUUCAUUAUAAUUUCUUUUGAUUUAUUUAUCUUCUUAAUUAUUAUCGUUUUAGAAUCAUUUUUCAUUGUUUAAUUUUAUUUGAUUUUUAUGUCAGCUUCUAUUCUUAUUUUUUUAUCAUUGUUUUUAAACUCGGCUCAAGGGUCCAUCCCAAGCAAAUCCUGGUUCACGAAUCGAGUGAGUUGGACAAGGAUACCCAGAUAAACUUAAGCCAUGUUUGUUUUUUUAAAAAAAUUUAAAUUUUUUUAGUUAUUUUAAAUUUAAUUUUUUUUGUGUUUUUAAAUCAUUUUAAUGCGUUGAUAUCAAAAAUAAUUUAUAUAUAUAUAUAUAUUAUUUUGAUAUAUUUUCAAGAGAAAAACACUUUAAAAAAUAACCGUAACUAUAAUCUCAAAUAAGCUCUUAGCCUAAAAAAUUAUUCGAUGGGUAUAAAAACAAAUUCACAAAGAGGUUGUGUUUUUAUUUGUUUAAUAAAAUUUUUUAAAAGUGAUCUGGAGGUUGAUCCUUAAAAAAGGCUUGAGUCACAAGUAGAAUUACUUGGAAAACUAUUUUUUUAUUUUACAAAUAUGUAAAAAUGAUAUUAUUUUAGUUUAAUUUUUUUUAAAAAAAAAUCAAUAGUUUUUAAUAAAAAUUAACAAAAUAAAUUCAACAAGCUUAAGAAAAAAUUAUAAAGAAUUGAAUGAAAAAAUUGGUCCACUUUUUUUUUAUCAAGAUUUUGAAACCUAGUCCAGGAUUGAUCUCAAGUAGCUAUUGGAUCAUAAAUCAAGUAAAUUCAUCAAUCUAAUUUUUUAUUUUACAAAAAUUUCAAAAUUACAUAAUUUUAAUAAAGAUUUAACAAAUAAAAUCCACAAGUUUUUUUUAAAAUUAACAAUUGCAAGUUGGGCACUACGAGAUAAUAAGCCGUCACCUAACAACAUCAUUUUAUCUUCGAGUAAUAAUUGCAAGUUGUUUCCUCAGCAUUAUUGGACUUAUUGUUGCGUCGCUGUAACUUCUCCGAGGGGACACAACAAGAAAAGGGUCAAAGGACACUUUGGCAUCAAUGGCUGUAGCUGUCGACAUUAUAGGCAUUGGAGCUGUGAUAGUGUAAGAAAUUGGUGGGUAAAGUGGAGCUGUGAUAGGCAUUAUAACAAAAAACAAUCUCUCUCUCAACCAAUAAUUGAUGUGAGAGAAAUAGACAGUUUGCUAACGAGAGAUGAGCAUAGCUCGUCAUGUCUGCACCGUGUGGAGCCCAAGCGACUUGGCCAGCGUGGCACGAAGACUUUUACUAACCAAUAAGCAAAACACAGCCACGUUCCUUCUCUGAAACUGCAGCGAAGCGAUCACUAAUAAUAAAAUGGAUCCAUCACAUUAUCAAUCACUAAUAAAAAGAGAUCGAUAUCAGAAGAAAAGCUCAUCACCAUACACUUUCACCUUUGCUUGCCAUUUCUCAUCUCACGCUGCUCUUUCUACUCAAUAUUUACUUUACCGUUUCUUGCUCACGUCCCCUGCUUUUAGUUUUCCUCGCACCUUCUCUACUUCUUCUCAACAUCCAUUUAUUUUCCAUUCCAAGACAAGCUAUGGCUGAUGCAAUUGUUUCUGCUCUCGCGAGUACAAUCAUGGGGAACUUGAAUUCUUCAAUUCUUCAGGAGCUUGGACUUGCUGGGAGCCUAGAGACUGAUCUUGAACAUCUCGAGCGCACGUUCAUAACUACUCAAGCUGUGCUCCAGGAUGCAGAGGUGAAGCAGUGGAAGGACCAGGCUAUAAAGGUGUGGCUCAGACACCUCAAGGAUGCAGCUUAUGAUGUUGACGAUUUGCUAGAUGAGUUUGCCUUUGAAGCUCAGUGGCAUCAGCAGCGAAGAGAUCUCAAAAAUCGACUAAGAUCCUUCUUUUCUAUCAAUCAUAAUCCUCUUGUUUUUCGACAAAGGAUGGCUAAUAAAUUGAAGAAUGUUAGAGAAAAACUGGAUGCCAUUGCCAAUGAGAAAAACAAGUUCAAUUUAACACCACAAGUUGGGGACAUAGCAGCUGAGACCUACGAUGGACGGCUUACCAGCUCACUCGUGAAUGAAUCAGAAAUUUGCGGAAGAGGCCAGGAGAAAGAAGAACUAGUCAACAUCCUGCUCUCUACUGCAGACAAUCUCCCUAUUUAUGCUAUAUGGGGAAUGGGGGGACUAGGAAAAACAACACUUUCUCAAAUGGUCUACAAUGAAGAAAGGGUUAAACUGCAAUUCAGUUUGAGGAUCUGGGUGUGUGUAUCUACUGAUUUCGAUGUAAGAAGAUUAACAAGAGCCAUCAUAGAGUCCAUUGAUGGU
Molecule: long non-coding RNA, 12044 nt
Filed under: Populus tremula
Lineage: Eukaryota; Viridiplantae; Streptophyta; Magnoliopsida; Malpighiales; Salicaceae
Description: long non-coding RNA (PTRE_LNC003323)
Source: RNAcentral